This 881-nucleotide non-coding RNA is filed under the name Craugastor augusti (barking frog). Its description in RNAcentral is "12S ribosomal RNA". It matches the Rfam family "Bacterial small subunit ribosomal RNA", at positions 357 to 1522 of the family's 1533-position model. The record is from RNAcentral. Lineage: Eukaryota; Metazoa; Chordata; Amphibia; Anura; Craugastoridae.
GCAAGUCUCAGCCUACCAGUGAAAACGCCCCCAACCCCGCUCGGGACAAGGAGCCGGUAUCAGGCACAAUUACUCGCCCAAGACACCUAGCUAAGCCACACCCACAAGGGUUAUCAGCAGUAAUUAACAUUGAAAAUUAACAGCAGUUAGAUUCAGUUAGGGUGACAUAGAGCUGGCCAACCCGGUGCCAGCCGCCGCGGUUACACCGGGGGCUCAAAUUGAUAUUUACCGGCGUAAAGCGUGAUUAAAGAACCCCCUGCUCCCCACUAGAAUUUAACCUAAACUGGGUAGUGAUAAGCCUGUCUUAGGGAGAUUCAGACAACGAAAGUUAUUCUAGCCACCUCUUAAUUCACGACAGCCAAGACACAAACUGGGAUUAGAAACCCCACUAUGCUUAGCUGUAAACUUUAACCUACACCCAAAUCGCCAGGGAACUACGAGCCAUGCUUAAAACCCAAAGGACUUGACGGUACCCCAUAUCCACCUAGAGGAGCCUGUCCUAUAACCGAUGAUCCCCGUUCAACCUCACCCCUUCUAGCCUCUCAGCUUGUAUACUUCCGUCGUCAGCCCACCUCGUGAGCGCCAUUUAGUGAGCCCUUAGCUUAGUCCGCUCAUACGUCAGGUCAAGGUGCAGCACAUGAAGGGGGAAGAGAUGGGCUACAUUCUCUAACUUAGAGUACACAAAUGACUGCAUGAAACCCAGUCGGAAGGCGGAUUUAGAAGUAAAAGGAAAAUAGAGUGUUCUUUUUAAUUUGGCACUAGGGUGUGUACACACCGCCCGUCACCCUCCUCAAAGCCACCAGUCAGUAACUAACACCAGACAGCCCCUAAGAGGAGGUAAGUCGUAACAUGGUAAGCAUACCGGAAGGUGUGCUUGGAAA